Molecule: ribosomal RNA, 116 nt
Filed under: Pteropus alecto (black flying fox)
Lineage: Eukaryota; Metazoa; Chordata; Mammalia; Chiroptera; Pteropodidae
Source: RNAcentral
GUCUACAGCUAUACCACCCUGAAUAAGCUGGAUGUCUCAUCUCAGACGCUAAGCAGGGCCAGGUCUGGUUAGUACUUGGAUGGGAGACCACCUAGGAAGACCAGGUACUGUAGGCA